CAUAGGCAGUGGCUUGGCUAAGGGAACCCACUGGAGCCGUAGCGAAAGUGAGUCUUCAUAGGGCAAUUGUCACUGCUUAUGGACCCGAACCUGGGUGAUCUAUCCAUGACCAGGGUGAAGCUUGGGGAAACUAAGUGGAGGUUCGAACCAACUGAUGGGUUGUGGUUAGGGGUGAAAUGCCACUCGAACCCAGAGCUAGCUAG
This 203-nucleotide non-coding RNA is filed under the name Amborella trichopoda. RNAcentral's name for it is "Bacterial large subunit ribosomal RNA". It matches the Rfam family "Bacterial large subunit ribosomal RNA", at positions 629 to 852 of the family's 2925-position model. Lineage: Eukaryota; Viridiplantae; Streptophyta; Magnoliopsida; Amborellales; Amborellaceae. The record is from Rfam by way of RNAcentral.